This 552-nucleotide ribosomal RNA is filed under the name Brettanomyces bruxellensis. Its description in RNAcentral is "eukaryotic LSU rRNA". It matches the Rfam family "Eukaryotic large subunit ribosomal RNA", at positions 48 to 611 of the family's 3401-position model. The record is from RNAcentral. Lineage: Eukaryota; Fungi; Ascomycota; Pichiomycetes; Pichiales; Pichiaceae.
UAGCGGAGGAAAAGAAACCAACAGGGAUUGCCCCAGUAAUGGCGAAUGAAGCGGCAAGAGCCCAAAUUUGAAAUCGGGCAACCGAGUUGUAAUUUGGAGACGGGACACUAGAGAGGAGGAAGGCGAUUAAGUGCCUUGGAACAGGCUGCCGUAGAGGGUGAGAGCCCCGUGAAUCGCUGGAGACCGAUCAAUUAGUGCCCGCCGAAGAGUCGAGUUGUUUGGGAAUGCAGCUCUAAGUGGGUGGUAUAUUCCAUCUAAGGCUAAAUAUUAGCGAGAGACCGAUAGCAAACAAGUACAGUGAUGGAAAGAUGAAAAGAACUUUGGAAAGAGAGUGAAAUAGUACGUGAAAUUGUUGAAAGGGAAGGGUAUUUGAUCCGACAUGGUGUUUAGCAGCGGCCCGUUCCUCGUGGAUGGGUGCACCUGGUUUACACUGGGCCAGCAUCGGUUCUGGGAGCCAUAUACGGGGUUCGUGAAUGUGGCCCUUCGAUUCUGUCGGAGGGUGUUAUAGCGCGGACAUCUUGUGGCUAGCCGGGACCCGGGGACUGCGGUGAC